UACGUAGGGUCCGAGCGUUGUCCGGAUUUAUUGGGCGUAAAGAGCUCGUAGGCGGCUCAGUAAGUCAGAUGUGAAAACUCAGGGCUCAACCCGGAGACGCCAUCUGAUACUGCUGUGGCUUGAGUCUGGUAGGGGAUCACGGAAUUCCUGGUGUAGCGGUGAAAUGCGCAGAUAUCAGGAGGAACGCCAGUGGCGAAGGCGGUGCUCUGGGCCGGAACUGACGCUGAGGAGCGAAAGCGUGGGGAGCAAACAGG
This 254-nucleotide ribosomal RNA is filed under the name uncultured bacterium. RNAcentral's name for it is "partial 16S ribosomal RNA". It matches the Rfam family "Bacterial small subunit ribosomal RNA", at positions 524 to 776 of the family's 1533-position model. The record is from RNAcentral.